UACAGAGGGUGCGAGCGUUGUCCGGAAUCACUGGGCGUAAAGCGCACGUAGGCGGGUCGUUAAGUCGGGGGUGAAAUCCUGGAGCUCAACUCCAGAACUGCCUUCGAUACUGGCGACCUUGAGUCCGGGAGAGGUGAGUGGAACUCCGAGUGUAGAGGUGAAAUUCGUAGAUAUUCGGAAGAACACCAGUGGCGAAGGCGGCUCACUGGCCCGGUACUGACGCUGAGGUGCGAAAGCGUGGGGAGCAAACAGG
Molecule: ribosomal RNA, 253 nt
Filed under: uncultured bacterium
Lineage: Bacteria
Description: partial 16S ribosomal RNA
Rfam family: Bacterial small subunit ribosomal RNA
Source: RNAcentral